GACGAACGCUGGCGGCGUGCUUAACACAUGCAAGUCGAACGGAAAGGCCCUGCUUUUGUGGGGUGCUCGAGUGGCGAACGGGUGAGUAACACGUGAGUAACCUGCCCUUGACUUUGGGAUAACUUCAGGAAACUGGGGCUAAUACCGGAUAGGAGCUCCUGCGGCAUGGUGGGGGUUGGAAAGUUUCGGCGGUUGGGGAUGGACUCGCGGCUUAUCAGCUUGUUGGUGGGGUAGUGGCUUACCAAGGCUUUGACGGGUAGCCGGCCUGAGAGGGUGACCGGCCACAUUGGGACUAAGAUACGGCCCAGACUCCUACGGGAGGCAGCAGUGGGGAAUAUUGCACAAUGGGCGGAAGCCUGAUGCAGCAACGCCGCGUGCGGGAUGACGGCCUUCGGGUUGUAAACCGCUUUCGCCUGUGACGAAGCGUGAGUGACGGUAAUGGGUAAAGAAGCACCGGCUAACUACGUG
RNAcentral lists this ribosomal RNA (468 nucleotides) under uncultured bacterium. RNAcentral's name for it is "partial 16S ribosomal RNA". It matches the Rfam family "Bacterial small subunit ribosomal RNA", at positions 28 to 507 of the family's 1533-position model. The record is from RNAcentral.